This 547-nucleotide ribosomal RNA is filed under the name uncultured bacterium. Its description in RNAcentral is "partial 16S ribosomal RNA". It matches the Rfam family "Bacterial small subunit ribosomal RNA", at positions 355 to 895 of the family's 1533-position model. The record is from RNAcentral.
UGGGGAAUUUUGGACAAUGGGCGAAAGCCUGAUCCAGCAAUGCCGCGUGUGUGAAGAAGGCCUUCGGGUUGUAAAGCACUUUUGUCCGGAAAGAAAUCCUUGGCUCUAAUACAGUCGGGGGAUGACGGUACCGGAAGAAUAAGCACCGGCUAACUACGUGCCAGCAGCCGCGGUAAUACGUAGGGUGCAAGCGUUAAUCGGAAUUACUGGGCGUAAAGCGUGCGCAGGCGGUUUGCUAAGGCCGAUGUGAAAUCCCCGGGCUCAACCUGGGAACUGCAUUGGUGACUGGCAGGCUAGAGUAUGGCAGAGGGGGGUAGAAUUCCACGUGUAGCAGUGAAAUGCGUAGAGACGUGGAGGAAUACCGAUGGCGAAGGCAGCCCCCUGGGCCAAUACUGACGCUCAUGCACGAAAGCGUGGGGAGCAAACAGGAUUAGAUACCCUGGUAGUCCACGCCCUAAACGAUGUCAACUAGUUGUUGGGGAUUCAUUUCCUUAGUAACGUAGCUAACGCGUGAAGUUGACCGCCUGGGGAGUACGGUCGCAAGAUU